CUCAAGCUCAUCCCUGCCCUCAAACCUCUCCAAACUGCUGCCAAGGUCACUGGCCAAAUCCACCGUCGCCGGCCCUUUUUCUGCCACAACAGCACACCAUCAACUUUUCCGCUCAUCGGUCUGGGGUGGACAUGUGGAAGGGGCUUCGGCCAGGUUGACAUGAUCCACAACGGUGGAACCCGUGAAAGCAGCGACCACGAUCAGUUCUUCCCUGAGGAGGCGCAGGAAGGGGAAGAAUUCUAUGGUGCAGACGAGUUCUUGUUCUAG
This 267-nucleotide long non-coding RNA is filed under the name Oryza sativa tropical japonica subgroup. RNAcentral's name for it is "lncRNA OsKeNa_03g0022520". The record is from RNAcentral. Lineage: Eukaryota; Viridiplantae; Streptophyta; Magnoliopsida; Poales; Poaceae.